GCCCUGGUGGCCAAACGGUUAAGUGCUCGGCUGUUAACUGAAAGGUUGGUGGUUCAAACCCACCCAGAGGCU
Molecule: transfer RNA, 72 nt
Filed under: Loxodonta africana (African savanna elephant)
Lineage: Eukaryota; Metazoa; Chordata; Mammalia; Proboscidea; Elephantidae
Rfam family: tRNA
About the family: Transfer RNA (tRNA) molecules are approximately 80 nucleotides in length.
Source: Rfam by way of RNAcentral